UGGUGGGUAGUUUGACUGGGGCGGUCUCCUCCUAAAGAGUAACGGAGGAGCACGAAGGUUGGCUAAUCCUGGUCGGACAUCAGGAGGUUAGUGCAAUGGCAUAAGCCAGCUUGACUGCGAGCGUGACGGCGCGAGCAGGUGCGAAAGCAGGUCAUAGUGAUCCGGUGGUUCUGAAUGGAAGGGCCAUCGCUCAACGGAUAAAAGGUACUCCGGGGAUAACAGGCUGAUACCGCCCAAGAGUUCAUAUCGACGGCGGUGUUUGGCACCUCGAUGUCGGCUCAUCACAUCCUGGGGCUGAAGUAGGUCCCAAGGGUAUGGCUGUUCGCCAUUUAAAGUGGUACGCGAGCUGGGUUUAGAACGUCGUGAGACAGUUCGGUCCCUAUCUGCCGUGGGCGCUGGAGAAUUGAGGGGGGCUGCUCCUAGUACGAGAGGACCGGAGUGGACGCAUCACUGGUGUUCGGGUUGUCAUGCCAAUGGCACUGCCCGGUAGCUAAAUGCGGAAGAGAUAAGUGCUGAAAGCAUCUAAGCACGAAACUUGCCCCGAGAUGAGUUCUCCCUGACUCCUUGAGAGUCCUGAAGGAACGUUGAAG
Molecule: ribosomal RNA, 590 nt
Filed under: Escherichia coli
Lineage: Bacteria; Pseudomonadati; Pseudomonadota; Gammaproteobacteria; Enterobacterales; Enterobacteriaceae
Description: partial 23S ribosomal RNA
Rfam family: Bacterial large subunit ribosomal RNA
Source: RNAcentral